GGGGAAUUUUGCGCAAUGGGGGAAACCCUGACGCAGCAACGCCGCGUGAGUGAUGAAGGCCUUCGGGUCGUAAAGCUCUGUCAGAGGGGAAGAAGUGCAUGGGCGCUAAUAUCGCUUAUGCUUGACGGUACCCUCAAAGGAAGCACCGGCUAACUCCGUGCCAGCAGCCGCGGUAAUACGGAGGGUGCGAGCGUUGUUCGGAAUUAUUGGGCGUAAAGCGCGUGUAGGCGGUUUUUUAAGUCUGAUGUGAAAGCCCUGGGCUCAACCCGGGAAGUGCAUUGGAAACUGGGAGACUUGAAUACGGGAGAGGGCAGUGGAAUUCCUGGUGUAGGAGUGAAAUCCGUAGAUAUCAGGAGGAACACCGGUGGCGAAGGCGGCUGCCUGGACCGAUAUUGACGCUGAGACGCGAAAGCGUGGGGAGCAAAC
Molecule: ribosomal RNA, 426 nt
Filed under: uncultured bacterium
Lineage: Bacteria
Description: bacterial SSU rRNA
Rfam family: Bacterial small subunit ribosomal RNA
Source: RNAcentral